RNAcentral lists this ribosomal RNA (301 nucleotides) under uncultured bacterium. RNAcentral describes it as "partial 16S ribosomal RNA". It matches the Rfam family "Bacterial small subunit ribosomal RNA", at positions 509 to 808 of the family's 1533-position model. The record is from RNAcentral.
CAGUAGCCACGGUAACACGUAGGGUGCAAGCGUUAAUCGGAAUUACUGGGCGUAAAGCGUGCGCAGGCGGUUAUAUAAGUCAGAUGUGAAAUCCCCGGGCUCAACCUGGGAACUGCAUUUGAGACUGUAUGGCUAGAGUGUGUCAGAAGGGGGGUAGAAUUCCACGUGUAGCAGUGAAAUGCGUAGAUAUGUGGAGGAACACCAGUGGCGAAGGCGACUCUCUGGUCCGUAACUGACGCUGAGGAGCGAAUGCGUGGGGAGCGAACAGGAUUAGAUACCCCAGUAGUCCCUGUCUCUUAUA